RNAcentral lists this ribosomal RNA (578 nucleotides) under uncultured bacterium. RNAcentral's name for it is "bacterial SSU rRNA". It matches the Rfam family "Bacterial small subunit ribosomal RNA", at positions 264 to 811 of the family's 1533-position model. The record is from RNAcentral.
CGUACCCAAGGCGACUCGAUACAUAGCCGACCUGAGUACGGGUGAUCGGUCCACAUUCGGGACUUGAGACACGGCCAAACUCCUACGGGAGGCAGCAGUAGGGAAUCUUCGGCAAUGGGCGAAAGUCUGACGGAGCAACGCCGCGUGAGUGAUGACGGCCUUCGGGUUGUUAAAGCUCUGUUAAUCGGGACGUAAAGGCCUUCUUGCGAAUAGUGAGAAGGAUUGACGGUACCGGAAUAGGUAAAGCCAACGGCUAACUACGUCGCCAGCUAGCCGCGGUAAUACGUAGGUGGCAAGCGUUGUACCGGAACUUAUUGGGCGUAAAGCGCGCGCAGGCGGGAUAGGUCAGUCUCGUCUUAAAAGUUCGGGGCUUAACCCCGUGAUGGGAUGGAAACUGCCAAUCUAGAGUAUCGGAGAGGAAAGUUGGAAUUCCUAGUGUAGCGGUGAAAUGCGUAGAUAUUAGGAAGAACACCAGUGGCGUAACGGCGACUUUCUGGGACGAAAACUGACGCUUGAGGCGCGAAAGCCAGGGGAGCGAACGGGAUUAGAUACCCCGGUAGUCCUGGCCGUAAACGAUG